UAAACCAAUUGUGAAGUUGUCUCUAUGGCA
Molecule: non-coding RNA, 30 nt
Filed under: Mus musculus (house mouse)
Lineage: Eukaryota; Metazoa; Chordata; Mammalia; Rodentia; Muridae
Source: RNAcentral